This 615-nucleotide ribosomal RNA is filed under the name uncultured bacterium. RNAcentral describes it as "bacterial SSU rRNA". The stretch from base 1 to 520 matches the Rfam family "Bacterial small subunit ribosomal RNA", at positions 338 to 873 of the family's 1533-position model. The record is from RNAcentral.
CCUACGGGAGGCAGCAGUCGAGAAUCUUCCGCAAUGGGGGAAACCCUGACGGAGCGACGCCGCGUGCGGGAUGAAGGCCUUCGGGUUGUAAACCGCUGUCGUAGGGGAGCAAAUUUUGAGCGAUCCUAGGAGGAAGCACCGGCUAAACUCGUGCCAGCAGCCGCGGUAAUACGAGUGGUGCAAACGUUAUUCGGAAUCACUGGGCUUAAAGGGUGCGUAGGCGGCCAUGAAGGUCUGAUGUGAAAUACCACGGCUCAACCGUGGAAUGGCAUUGGAAACCACAUGGCUGGAGUGAGACAGAGGUGAGCGGAACAGAUGGUGGAGCGGUGAAAUGCGUUGAUAUCAUCUGGAACACCGGUGGCGAAAGCGGCUCACUGGGUCUUUACUGACGCUGAGGCACGAAAGCUAGGGGAGCAAACGGGAUUAGAUACCCCGGUAGUCCUAGCUGUAAACGAUGAGUACUAGUCCGAGGGGACCCCCACACUCCUCUCGGACGUAGCGAAGUGUUAAGUACUCCGCCGUGGGUAGGUAGUGUCGCGACGCGUGAACGUACGAAACGGUAAGUUAGUACGGUUCGUUGUAGACGUUGCCGACGGACGACGACGAGGGAGGAGG